UAAGGAAUAUUGGACAAUGGAGGCAACUCUGAUCCAGCCAUGCCGCGUGAAGGAAUAUGGCCCUAUGGGUUGUAAACUUCUUUUAGACGGGACAAAACCCCUUUACGUGUAAAGGGUUGAUGGUACUGUCAGAAUAAGCAUCGGCUAACUUCGUGCCAGCAGCCGCGGUAAUACGAAGGAUGCAAGCGUUAUCCGGAAUUAUUGGGUUUAAAGGGUGCGUAGGCGGACUAAUAAGUCAGUGGUGAAAGCCUGCAGCUUAACUGCAGAAUUGCCAUUGAUGCUGUUAGUCUUGAGUACAGUUGAGGUAGGCGGAAUGUGUCAUGUAGCGGUGAAAUGCUUAGAUAUGACACAGAACACCGAUUGCGAAGGCAGCUUGCUAAGCUGUAACUGACGCUGAGGCACGAAAGCGUGGGGAGCAAACA
RNAcentral lists this ribosomal RNA (422 nucleotides) under uncultured bacterium. RNAcentral describes it as "bacterial SSU rRNA". It matches the Rfam family "Bacterial small subunit ribosomal RNA", at positions 355 to 774 of the family's 1533-position model. The record is from RNAcentral.